UCCGACCGGCCGGACACGCAUGUGACCGGCCCACAAGUGGAGGCUCCGAUCUCCCACCCGACCGAUCUCAGGUUGGCGGGUCAACGGUCUGGCUGCGCCCCGCGGAGAUUUCGCGGCGGUGCUCCUGAUCCACGUGGAGCCCCGCCUGUGUCCCGUCCGGGGCGUUUUUC
Streptomyces sp. 769 is the source of this 170-nucleotide non-coding RNA. The record is from Rfam. Lineage: Bacteria; Bacillati; Actinomycetota; Actinomycetes; Kitasatosporales; Streptomycetaceae.